GCGAGUGAAGAGGGACAAGCUCAAAUUUUAAAUCCGUCGGGUUUCACCUGACCGAGUUGUAAUUUGAAGAGGCGUUUUCCGCGUUUUUGAUCAGUCCAAGUCCUUUGGGAUAGGGCAUCAUGGAGGGUGAGAAUCCCGUUCGGCUGAUCAGAUUCGCUUUACGAUACGUCAUCUAAGAGUCAAGUUGUUUGGGAAUGCAGCUUAAAAUGGGAGGUAAAUUUCUCCUAAGGCUAAAUAACGGCGAGAGACCGAUAGCGAACAAGUACCGUGAGGGAAAGAUGAAAAGAACUUUGAAAAGAGAAUUAAACAGUACGUGAAAUUGUUGAAAGGGAAACGAUUGAAGCCAGUCGUACCGGUGGGUAAUCAGCCUUUCGUCGUGAUUAUGUGGAGCGUGAGGAGUUAAACGCCCUCAUGCCUGCAUAUUCGUGUUCUUUGGGUGUACUUACCCGCAUGGUAGGUUAACAUCAAUUUCGAACGUCAUAAAAUGGUUGGAGGAAUGUAGCUUCGAUCUCGUAUUGAAGUGUUAUAGCCUUCGGCAGAUGUGAUGAUCGGGAUUGAGGAUUGCAACGGAUACCCUCCGGCUACCCGUCUGAUCUCUGAAAGUUGCUCUGGUGCCGAAAGCUCGCUUACGGUCAUCAAAGUUGACGUUCAACAGGUUAGAACGGGAUAAAUUCGUUAAGGAUGU
Molecule: ribosomal RNA, 685 nt
Filed under: Rhizophagus manihotis
Lineage: Eukaryota; Fungi; Glomeromycota; Glomeromycetes; Glomerales; Glomeraceae
Description: partial large subunit ribosomal RNA
Rfam family: Eukaryotic large subunit ribosomal RNA
Source: RNAcentral